UGGGAUGUCGUCUAGUGGCAGGACUGCGGAUUCUGACUCCGCCAACAGAGGUUCGAAUCCUCUCAUCCCAGCCA
Molecule: transfer RNA, 74 nt
Filed under: Candidatus Babelota bacterium
Lineage: Bacteria
Description: tRNA-Gln
Rfam family: tRNA
About the family: Transfer RNA (tRNA) molecules are approximately 80 nucleotides in length. Their secondary structure includes four short double-helical elements and three loops (D, anti-codon, and T loops).
Source: RNAcentral